This 253-nucleotide ribosomal RNA is filed under the name uncultured bacterium. RNAcentral's name for it is "partial 16S ribosomal RNA". It matches the Rfam family "Bacterial small subunit ribosomal RNA", at positions 524 to 776 of the family's 1533-position model. The record is from RNAcentral.
UACGUAGGGGGCAAGCGUUGUCCGGAAUCAUUGGGCGUAAAGCGCGCGUAGGCGGCCCGGUAAGUCCGUUGUGAAAGUCAAAGGCUCAACCUUUGAACGCCGAUGGAUACUGCCGGGCUAGAGUCCGGAAGAGGCGAGUGGAAUUCCUGGUGUAGCGGUGGAAUGCGCAGAUAUCAGGAGGAACACCAAUAGCGAAGGCAGCUCGCUGGGACGGUACUGACGCUGAGGCGCGAAAGCGUGGGGAGCGAACGGG